UCUCUCUCUCUCUCUCUCUCUCUCUCUCUCUCUCUCCACCAAGGAGGAUUAGGAACUGUUUAAUUGCAUUACCAAAUUACCAAACUAUCCAAUUGUUACAGUAAUGUACAAAUGUAUAAACCCAUUCACUGGAACUAGACAAUAACCAAAAUGCCCCUAACAAACUAUUAAAAUGACUAAACUGCUGCUAUACCUAUUCCCCAUACAAUUAAAUCAACUUUCACGCAACCUAAUCCCCAUAUUACGAGUCCCUAUUCAUGCAACCAAAUUCUCAUGCAUUGAAACUACACAGCAUAGACUCUUUGACUCGUUGGAACUCAAAAUAACAUUACUUUGACUCAUUGACUACAUGAAAAAUCUAUAGAACUCUAUUCUAUGCUUAACUUUAAACUAAACCCAAGAAAGUCCCUUGAUAACAAAUUACAAAAGAGUCUUUAGCAAAUCCCAAAUUGACAAACACAUCUUGGGGCCAAAGUUUUCUGGAAAUGACAAAUACAUCCCAGGGCCAAAAAGCUCCUAGAAAUGACAAGCACACUUAGCGACCAAAAGAUCCUGAAAAUGGCAGACACUUCGCGGGGUCAAAUUCAAAAAAUAAACUUGUUCUGGCAAGCCCCUUGAUGCAAUUUAUAUCAUACUCCCCAGGUUGGAAAAAAACUAGUCCUCGAGUUUUGGCAAACUGCUUAGCGUUCUUUUCCUCUAACAGAUGGUGAAGUCCUAUGCCUCCAUGGGGUUUAUCCUUACAAGGCAUUUGGUUGAACCCUUGGCAUAAGUUUUUGGUAGUUCCACAUUUGACAUUCAUGGUAGGCAACAUGUUGCGCAUGGAAAGAUUAGAGCCAUUGUUUCAAAAAGCAGACCUCCCAACGCAUAGGCGGUCCAGAAGGCCUGGGCGCAUCGCCCAGGCCUAGGCGGUGAUCCCUGAGCGGCGGCCUAGCAGUGUUUUAAAAUGCGGGAUGCGGCCCUGAUGCGGUGGGGGGACCGAUGCGACGAUGUGGCUCGAUGCGGCCCGGAUGCGGGUGCAUCGCGAUGAUGAGGGCAAUAAAUGUAAAAAAAAUCUAAAAAAUCUAAAAAAAUAAGUUAAUGCAUAGAAAAAAAUACGAAGGUGAUAUAUGUGAUAGUAGGUAUUUUAGUUUAAUGAUUAACUUCAAAACUAUUAGCUGUCGGAGACUCUGUAUCCAGUUAUCCACUAUCCCUUGAUAGAAACUAGAAACUUGAAACCAGCUUCAUAAAGCAUUCAACAAUCACCAACCACCAGCACAAAUUUGCACCUUAAGCACAACUAUAACUAAACACAACCAUCAACAACCAUAAGUACAACCAUAAGUACAAAAUAAUGAUAUUACAAAAUACAAAUCAAAAGUCAAG
This 1362-nucleotide long non-coding RNA is filed under the name Amborella trichopoda. RNAcentral describes it as "long non-coding RNA (ATRI_LNC002200)". Lineage: Eukaryota; Viridiplantae; Streptophyta; Magnoliopsida; Amborellales; Amborellaceae. The record is from RNAcentral.